Molecule: long non-coding RNA, 1341 nt
Filed under: Sarcophilus harrisii (Tasmanian devil)
Lineage: Eukaryota; Metazoa; Chordata; Mammalia; Dasyuromorphia; Dasyuridae
Description: lncRNA (ENSSHAG00000020873.1)
Source: RNAcentral
CUACUGAGCUUCAUAUGCAGAUGAGCAAGUUACAACAAUGCUUUGUUUGUGCUAUGUAAUACAAAGUAAUUUGGGACAUAUUUGGGAGCACAAUAAAAAGAGGAUUGCACCUGGAGUUAGGAAGACCUGAGUUCAAAUCUAGGUUCUGACUCAUACUAGUUAUGUGAUUUUGGGCCAAGUCAUUCUGCCUUAGUUUCCUCAACUAUAAAAUGAGAAUAAUUACAGUACCCACCUUGGACGGUUGUUGUGAGAUAAUUUUUGUGAAGUGCUUAAUGUAGUAUCUGGCACAUAGUAGGUACUAUAUAAAUGCUUAUUCCUUUCCUCUUUAUUACUUGGGAACUUGGUAACUCAACUUUAGUAUUAAAGUUUGGAGGGGAACUAAUUUCAUUCCAAAAUGGCAGGCAUAUUGGAGGUUAUAUGUAACUAUAGUAAUGUGACUGAUCUUAUUAAAAGCAAAAAGCAGAGCCUAUGUAAAGACGUUUCUACAUUAUGUAGUCUUGUCUUUAAGACAGUAGCCUUGAUUCUUUAUUUUAAGGCUCUAUUUCAUGUCCCAGAAAUUUUAGUGCAGUUUUAAGCAGCUUAAAACUGAAGUAAGACUUCUGGAAUACCCUGUGUUUGUGUUUGAAUUUGUAUUUAUCUUGUUUAAGGUGAGACAACAUAAUGUGAUAGAGAGCUAAUCUUGAAGUCAAAAAGACCUAAAUUCAAGUCUUUCUUAUUACAGAUAUCUGGAUGUGUGUUCUUAAGCAAGUCAAUUAAUCUCUUUUUCUUGAGAAACUCUCUAAGACUCUUUAAGUUGUAGCAUAGUUGCUGAUCUGUAUUAGUCAAAAGACUUUUCCACAAGGAAGAACUCUUUGCACUAAUGGAAUCACAGAUAGAGACAAUUUUUUAAAAAAAUAUGCCCAACAGUGACAAAAAUCUUUAUCCUUUGAGGGCCUGCUUUUGCAGGCAACUUGAAUAGUUUGGAGCCCUAUUUAGUAAAUACAGCUAAUAAUGAAGCUGGUUAAAACUAUUUAGGAUUAAAAAAUAAAUGAUAAUUAUAGGGAGGAGACACUGCAUUUAUUAAUGAUUCUUAAAAUGACUUUUAAGGUAAAUCUAGAUAGGUUGUAUUGGUCUUAAAAUAAGUAAGAAAUGAAUUCAAAUCAUAAAUAUGAAUUAAAAUUCAAAUUAGAAAUAAUAUUCAACUUGACUUAGGCAAGUUAUUUAACUAGUUUUAGCCCCUGUUUCUACAUCUGUAAAAUGUGAGGAAUGGACUCAAUGACCUUUAAAAUCUCUUCCAGUUCUACAUAUGUGAUCUCUGAUUCAGAAGAGAUCUAAAAAUAUAAUGGGCAAUGUCAAUAUUAC